RNAcentral lists this ribosomal RNA (536 nucleotides) under uncultured bacterium. Its description in RNAcentral is "bacterial SSU rRNA". It matches the Rfam family "Bacterial small subunit ribosomal RNA", at positions 777 to 1320 of the family's 1533-position model. The record is from RNAcentral.
AAUAGAUACCCCGGUAGUCCACGCCGUAAACGAUGGAUACUAGCUGUUGGGCGCAAGUUCAGUGGCUAAGCGAAAGUGAUAAGUAUCCCACCUGGGGAGUACGAACGCAAGUUUGAAACUCAAAGGAAUUGACGGGGGCCCGCACAAGCGGUGGAGCAUGUGGUUUAAUUCGAUGAUACGCGAGGAACCUUACCAAGGCUUAAAUGCAGACUGACCGGUUUGGAAACAGACCUUUCGCAAGACGGUCUACAAGGUGCUGCAUGGUUGUCGUCAGCUCGUGCCGUGAGGUGUCAGGUUAAGUCCUAUAACGAGCGCAACCCCUGUUGUUAGUUGCCAGCGAGUCAUGUCGGGAACUUUAGCAAGACUGCCAGUGCAAACUGUGAGGAAGGUGGGGAUGACGUCAAAUCAUCACGGCCCUUACGCCUUGGGCUACACACGUGCUACAAUGGCCGGUACAGAGAGCAGCCACCCCGGCGAGGGGGAGCGAAUCUAUAAAGCCGGUCACAGUUCGGAUCGGAGUCUGCAACUCGACUCCG